Molecule: ribosomal RNA, 229 nt
Filed under: uncultured bacterium
Lineage: Bacteria
Description: partial 16S ribosomal RNA
Rfam family: Bacterial small subunit ribosomal RNA
Source: RNAcentral
UGCGUAGGCGGCAUUGUAAGCAUCUUGUGAAAUCCCCCGGCUCAACCGGGGAAUUGCUUGAUGAACUGCUUUGCUUGAGGCAAGUAGGGGUGCAUGGAACUCUUGGUUGAGCGGUGAAAUGCGUAGACAUCAAGAGGAACGCCGGUGGUGAAGACGGUGCACUGGGCUUGCCCUGACGCUGAGGCACGAAAGCGUGGGGAGCGAACAGGAUUAGAUACCCUGGUAGUCC